UGAGUGCAAUUUACUCUGCAUCAACAGUUAAGAGUUCAUUGUUUGGCUUUCGAUACUCUCUUUCUAUUUGAUUUCGUUGUUGUCUUCCUGAAAAGCUUUACUCUUCACUGCCGGCGAAUGAUUAUGCAGUGCAUUUUUCAUCUCUAAGAGACGGAACAAUAUCUCAAAGGUUUUUCUUUCUUCAUUUCCUCCUUCAAUUAAUCAUAUAUUAUUACUCUUAUCUUUUUGUCAUUGCUUCUUAUCACAACCCCCCUCCAAAAAAAAAAAAAAACUCUAUAAUUUUACUUUCUUCCUUCAAUUUUAUUCUGUGUUCAAGUGUUACUUACCAGAAAAAAAAAGAGAAAGAAACUCUGUAUUCCUUUUUGAUUUUAGAGAGCUUUGUUAUCUCCUCCACUUCAACUCUAUUAGAACUCUUGUUGAACAAUUAUCAGAAUAAUAUUCUGUUGUGUGUUCUGUUUUCAUUUUACAAAGCUCCCUUUCUUGGUUUCUAUUUCUGUCAUAGUACAAAAGCUCCCCUUCUAGUCCCAUUAUAUUACAAUAUAAUUCUCUAUAUUCAACCCUGCUUGUCAAAAAAAAAAAAAAAAAAAAUUGUAUUCCCUUUAGAUUUUGUCAUCUAAGUGUUUCUUUCCUGUCUUCAUAUCCUUUGCAAAAUAGAAGUACUCUCUUGUUCUAUUUCGAUUUGCAAAGCUCAGAUUCCUCAUUUCCAUUUCGAUUGUUGUAGAAAUUCCUUUUCGUUGUGUUCUAGUCUUUUACAUUUUAAGUUUUCACUAUCCUCAGAAGAAAAACGUGAGAGAAAUGGUCGUGAACGUUGUUCUUCCUAUAGUAAUGAAGAUUGGAGAAUGUCUGGUUGCCCCAGUUGGCCGCCAGUUUGGUUAUUUGAUUUUCUAUUACAGAAACAUCGAAAAUCUCAGAAAGCAAGUCCAAAAGCUUCAAGAUAAAAGAUCUGAUAUACAAGGAGAAGUUGAUGCAGCAAAAAGUAGAAGCGAUAGUAUUAAAACUACCGUUUCACGGUGGUUGACACAGGUGGAUGAACUCAGUAAUGAUGCCAACAAAUUCUUUGAGGAUGAAGUCAUACCGAACAAAGGGUGUCUGAAUGGGUGGUGUCCAAAUCUGAAGUCACGCUACUCAUUGAGUAGGAAAGCUACAAAGAAAACUCAAGGCUUGGAAGAGCUAUGUGGGGAAGGAAAUUUCUCUGGGGUUUCAAUCCCUGCAGUUGCAUCUCAUGUGGGGACAACAUUCAUAUCCAUGGGAGGAUUUAAGGGGUUUGAAUCUAGAAGGUCAAUUAUGAAGGAAGUUAUGGAGGCACUGACAGAUGAUAGUAUCUAUGUGAUUGGGAUAUGUGGGAUGGGAGGGGUUGGUAAGACAACUAUGGUGAAAGAAGUUGCCAAGAAAGCAGAAGAAAAGAAAAUGUUUGAUAUUAUUGUGAUGGUAGUAGUGUCCCAAAACCCAAACUUGAUUAAUAUUCAAAGUGAGAUUGCCAAAAUAUUGGAUUUAAAAAAUUUUGAGGGAAACAAUUUACCUACUGGAGCGGGGGAGAUACGAUCAAAAAUAUUGAAAAGUGGGAGAGUCCUUGUAAUACUGGAUGAUGUUUGGGACAUACUAGAGCUGAAUGAGAUUGGAAUUCCAUUUGGAGAUGAUUGCAAAAGUUACAAAAUUGUGUUGACUUCAAGAAGUGAAGAUGUAUGCAACGGCAUGAACACACAAAAGAAUUUUAUGGUUCGUGUCUUACCUGAAGAAGAAGCAUGGAAUCUUUUCAAGGAGAAGGAAGCAAUUCCCUACAACGAUACAAGUCAUACGAUUGAUUUCAAGUCGACACAGAUGUCAGUUGCGAAGGAAUGUGGAGGUCUGCCCAUUGCUAUUGUUACAGUUGGGAGGGCACUCAAAGGUAAAGGCAGGCCUUCAUGGGAUUCUGCUCUUGAACAAUUACGGAAGUCUAUAGUGCAUAACAUCAAGGGAGUGUAUGACAAAGUGAUUAAAUCUUUGGAGUUGAGUUACAAUUUCUUAGAAAGUGAGGAAGCCAAGAAAUGCUUUUUGCUAUGUUCUUUAUAUCCAGAAGAUUUUGUUAUUCCAAUUGAAGAUCUCGUUAGAUAUGCAAUUGGGAUAGAGUUGUUUGAGCGCAUUGAUAGUGUGCACCAAGUAAGAAAUAGAGUAUAUUCCGUAGUUGAUGACUUGAAAAAAUGUUAUCUAUUGAUGGAAAGUGAAAAAGUAGAUUGUAUCAAAAUGCAUGAUGUCGUACGUGAUGUGGCUAUAUCAAUUGCAUCUAGGGAGGAGCAUUCAAUUGUCGUGAGAUGUGAUGAAGUACUGAAAGAAUGGCCUAAAAAAGACCGACUCGAAAAAAAUGCUAUAAUUUCAUUAAAAGUUGAUGGUAUGCAUGGGCUUCCUGGUAAUUUAGAAUUUCCAAAUCUCCAUCUUCUAAAGCUAGAUUGCAAUGCUGGAUUACCACCACUCUCAUUCCUUUAUCUCAACGUAGGAAUGGAGGAAGUCAAAGUACAAGAGACCCAAGAUAGUUUUUACCAAGGAAUGAAAGAACUUAAAGUGCUAGCUUUAUCCGAUAUGUAUGGCUCAUUGACGGCAUCACUUCGAUGCUUGACCAACCUCCGAACCUUGUCACUUUUUCGUUGCCGACUUAUUGAUGAUGGUAUCUCUGUUAUCAGAGUAUUAGAGAAUCUGGAAAUUUUGAGGUUUGGCUUCUCUUAUAUCAAGGAAUUGCCAAAAGAAAUAGUAGGUCACCUUGGUCACUUGAAGGUACUUGAUUUGUUGGGAUGUGUAGUGGAAAGGAUUUACCCAGGGGUUUUGUCAAGCUUAUCAAAGCUAGAAGAGUUGUAUGUUGGGUCUAUCUUUCAAAGUUGGUGUCAAGAUGAAAAAAGAAAAGAAGGUGCUAAAGCAAUUAUCGAUGAGCUGACGUCCUUGUCCAAUUUGGUGGCUUUGGAUAUUGCUCUAAUAAACAUUUCCUUCUGGCCGAGAGGUUUGGCCAUUGAGAAAUUAAAAAAGUUCAAUAUACGUGUUGCCAUUCAAUCUCCCUAUUACACCCCUCUUUGUUAUCCUUCGUUAUCAAAUCAGUUGGAGCUUGGAGUCGAAAACAUAAGUGACAUUAUUGAAACGAGGUCUAAUUUUCUGUUGAAGAGCACUAAAAUUCUGACUUUAAGCUCAAGUGUAAAAGGUUUGAAAAUUCUCUGUGAUUUGGUUGGCGAAGAUGGUUUUGAAUGCUUAACGAAUUUGUUACUACGUGGCUUGGAUGAUUUGGAAUACCUCAUCAAUACAGCAGAUGGGGUUCCACAGAGUGCUUUCCCUGUGUUAGAGUUUCUGUAUCUUCGUGGUCUACAAAAUUUCAAAGGCAUUACUGGUCACGAAUGCCGACAGCCGAACAAGACUUUCAGUGCAUUAAAAGUGUUGAGAAUGGAAUCCUUGUAUGGACUGACAAAUUUGUGGAAGGGUCCCACCCAACUUGUAUGGCUCGGCAACCUGACGUCUGUAGCAGUGAGUUGUUGUCGUAAACUGGAAAGUAUGUUCUCACUUUCCAUAGCUAGAGAUCUAGUGCAACUGAAAGACCUUUCCGUAGUUUUCUGUGAGAUGAUGGAAGAAAUUGUUUCGAGUGAAGGAGGAGAGCAUGAAAUAGCAGCAAUAGCAACAGAUAAAAUCGAGUUUCCUAAACUAAAGGAAUUGCGUCUUGAAAGCCUGCCAAGUUUUACUGGUAUCUGCAAAGCUAUGAAUGCAAUUGAGCUGCCACAACUGAGUUCCUUGACACUGUCGAAUAUGCCAACGCUGAAGCGUCUCUGUCCUGCUUCAGAUUCAGAAAGUAAUUGUGAUCCCAUCAUUCAACCCCUCUUCAACGACAAGGAUAAAUUGGCUACCAUUGAAGAAUUGACCAUCUUUGACAUGGAGAAUCUGAUAGAAAUUUGGCCUGGGGAACUUGAAGCUAAACUAAGAAUGAUGGAGGUCAAAUUGAGUAAUGGGCUCUCAAGUAUUCUUUUCCCAUCCAAUUCAAUUAAGGGCAUGCAAAAUCUUGAAGUACUUGAAGUGGAGGACUGUCGAUCUAUCGGAGUAGCCUUUGACCUUGAAGGACUUGUUUGGGAAGGCAUAUUAGAUAUGGCACUCCCUUCAUUAACAAAGGUGAAACUAAGUUGUUUGUCAAAGUUGACACAUGUUUGGAAGGACAAUUCACCAGGAAUUCAAGGCUUUCAGAAUCUAAGAUCCUUAAUAGUAAAUGAGUGCGAUAGUUUGAGAAAUCUAUUCUCAUACUCUCUAGCCAAACUUCUAGUAAAACUACAAGAAAUAGAGGUAACUGAAUGUGGUAUGAUGGAAUCAAUCAUUAGAAAUGAACCAAAUGCAGAUGAUGCAGUGAUAACAAAUAUGAUCAUGUUCCCUCAACUGAGUAGUCUCAAACUCAGUGAUUUGCCAAACCUUAGUAGUUUUUGCUCUGAGGCUUGUACGUUUGAGGGAUCGUUGUUGAAAACAAUAGAAGUAAUCAACUGUCCCAAAAUGGAGAUACUCCCAUCAGCAUUCCAGCACAAGCUAGAGCAACAAAAGGCAGACUUUUCAACUUUGUCUCAACUCCAUCUCUUGGAUGGAAAGUUUAUUUUCAGAGAUCAUUUUUCCGGCCACUUUGGAAAACUUACCGUCACAGACAUAAACGGAUCAAUAGAGAUGUGGCACAACCAACUUGAAGUUGACCGCCUUGACCAAGUGAGAUUCAUGUUGGUCCAAUUUUGCGGGAAAUUAUCAAAUGUGAUCUCGUCGAAUUUAAUGCAAAGACUACCAUAUCUACAACGGCUGAAGGUAUGGUGGUGUGAUUCACUGGAAACAAUAUUUGACCUCCAAGGGUCGGCACGCGCUGAUACUACUGGUGAGGAAGGAACAUCAAUCCUUUGCUUCAGAGAGUUCCUUUGCUUCAGAGAGUUGAAAUUGAUGUACUUGCCCAAGUUGACGCAUAUAUGGAAGAAUGUUUCCCAACAAACUCAUUGUUUCGAAAAUCUAGGAUCCCUAGAAGUGGAGAGGUGUGACAACCUGAGAUAUAUAUUCACAAUUUCCAUGGUCAAGGUCCUUGUGUGUCUAAAUUAUCUAAGAAUUGGAAAUUGCAAGAAAGUAGAAAAGAUUGUUACCAGAGAAGAAGAAGAAGAUGACGAUGACGACGAUGACGACAACUUAAGCGUGGUACUUGAAAAUCUUCCGAGUGUCGUGUGUAUUGGAAUUCCAGAAUCCCAAAUGCGUAUCUCCAAAUUGCAUGUAGAUUUCUGCCCCAAAUAUCGAGGUUAUGAUGUGGAAGGGGAGUAAUAUUUACCAUUUGUUGCGGUGCAUCGCCAAUCUCUUCCUAGAAAAGGUAUGUUGUUCUUGAUAAAUAGGACGUGGAAGGAUCCACUCAAUUUCUAUGAAGAUCAAGAAGCUGGAGAAGUAGAUAGCAACCCUAUUUAUGCAGAAACCGGCUACAACUUUACAAGGUUAAAUUGACUACCAUUGAAAUUUUGUACAUCUCUCAAACGGAGAAUCUGAUGGAGAUUCGGCGUGGGGAACUUCAAACUAAACUAAGAGAGAUGGAAAGUUCAUAGGUGUUAAGGGCAUGCAAAAUCUUGAACUACUUGAUGUACAGUGGUGUCAAUCUAUUGGCGUGGUAUUUGACCAUAACUAGUCUUUAGUGUUAUCAAUUCCAAAAUUUGAUUUCAGGUGAUUUGCUAGAUAUGCUUUUCUUGAUAAAGAAGUCGAAGAAAUAAAUGGCGGUCCAAUUUAUGCAGAAAGCAAGGUUACAGGGUGUCCUUAUAUGUAUUAUCUAUGGAAAACUAUUUCAUUAUUAUGACAAUGUUUUAUCUAUUGUCCAAACUCGAAUAAGCUGAUAGCUCCCACAGUUUGUCCUGUAGGCUGCAGUGGUAUUGCUCAAUUUAUGUAAGUACUAUGUCGUCUCGUUUGCCUGAUUUAUUUUAUACAUGUAAUGUGUUUUUUUGUUGGCUGGGUCGGUGGUCCUAGCAUAGCCUUCUGUCUUGAAUAUACAACUGGUCUGCCUUGUCUAUGAGCCAUGUAAUAAAUAUAGAAACUGUACUUGUGCAAUUGCUCCGAUGUCAUCAUGAGUGAUUGUCAAUAUUCUCAAGUA
Camellia sinensis is the source of this 6079-nucleotide non-coding RNA. The record is from RefSeq and is a predicted model, not a curated record. NCBI's taxonomy places the organism in Eukaryota, Viridiplantae, Streptophyta, Magnoliopsida, Ericales, Theaceae.